UGGGGAAUAUUGGACAAUGGGGGAAACCCUGAUCCAGCAAUGCCGCGUGAGUGAUGAAGGCCUUCGGGUUGUAAAGCUCUUUUGUCAGGGACGAUGAUGACGGUACCUGACGAAUAAGCUCCGGCUAACUUCGUGCCAGCAGCCGCGGUAAUACGAGGGGAGCUAGCGUUGUUCGGAAUUACUGGGCGUAAAGGGCGUGUAGGCGGUACCAUAAGUCAGAUGUGAAAGCCCUGGGCUUAACCUAGGAUGUGCAUUUGAUACUGUGGAACUAGAGAUCGAGAGAGGAAAGUGGAAUUACGAGUGUAGAGGUGAAAUUCGUAGAUAUUCGUAAGAACACCGGUGGCGAAGGCGACUUUCUGGCUCGAUACUGACGCUAAGGCGCGAAAGCGUGGGGAGCAAACAGG
RNAcentral lists this ribosomal RNA (404 nucleotides) under uncultured bacterium. Its description in RNAcentral is "bacterial SSU rRNA". It matches the Rfam family "Bacterial small subunit ribosomal RNA", at positions 355 to 776 of the family's 1533-position model. The record is from RNAcentral.